GGUCUUUGGCAUUGGUGACCUUUGGAAGGAGUGUUUACAUGGUCAUGCUCUUUGUUGAUGUUGAUGCUAUUGCUUUCUGUUUGUUAAUUUUCUUUCUAACAGUCAGGCCCUUCUUCUGCUGGUCUGCUGGAGUUUUCUGGGGGUCCACUCCAUACCCUGUUUGCAUGGGUAUCACCAGCAGAGGCUGCAGAACAGCAAAGAUUGCUGCCUCCUCCUACUUCUGGAAGCUGUGUCCCAGAGGGGCACCUGCCAGAUGCUAGCCAGAGCUCUCCUGUAUGAAGUGUCUGUCGACCCCUGUUGGGAGAUGUCUCCCCAUCAGGAGGCAUGGGGGUCAGGGACCCACUUGUGGAAGCAGUCUGUCCCUUAGCGGAGCUCCAGUGCUGUGCUAGGAGAUCUGCUGCUCUCUUCAGAGCUGGCAGGUGGGAAUGUUUAAGUCUGCUGAAGCUGCGCUCACAGCUGCCCCUUCCCCCAGGUGCUCUGUCCCCAGGAGAUGGGAGUUUUAUCUAUAAGCCCCUGACUAGGGCUACUGGCUUUCUUUCAGAGAUGCCCUGCCCAGAGAGGAGGAAUCUAGAGAGGCAGUCUGGCUUCAGUGGCUUUGCAGCGCUGCAGUGGGCUCCACUCAGACUGAACUUCCUGGCAGCUUUGUUUACACUGUGAGGGGAAAACUGCCUACUCAAGCCUCAGUAAUGGCAGAUACCUCUCCCCCAACCAAGCUUGAGCAUCCCAGGUCUACUUCAGACUGCUGUGCUGGAAGUAAGAAUUUCAAUCCAGUGGAUCUUAGCUUUCUGGGCUCCAUGGGGGUGGGAUCUACUGAUCAAGACCACUUGGCUCCCUGGUUUCAGCCCCCUUUCCAGGGGAGUGAAUGGUUCUGUCUCUCUGGCAUUCCAGACAACUCUGGGGUACGAAAAAAACUCCUACAGCUAGCUCAGUGUCUGCCCAAAUGGCCACUCAGUUUUGUGCUUGAAAUCCAGGGCCCUUGUGGUGUAGGCACCCAAGGGAUCUCCUUGUCUGUGGAUUGCGAAGACCAUGGGAAAAGCGUAGUAUCUGGACCGGAGUGCACCCCCACUCACGGCAUGGUCCCUCAUGGCUUCCCUUGGCUAGGGGAGGGAGUUCCCCAACCCCUUGCACUUCCCAGGUGAGGCAAUGCCCCACCCUGCUUCUGCUUGCCCUCCGUGGGCUGCACCCACUGUCUAACCAGUCCCAGUGAGAUGAACCGAGUACCUCAGUUGGAAAUGCAGAAAUCACCCACUUUCUGUGUUGGUCUUGCUGGGAGCUGCAGACAGCUGUUCCUAUUCGGCCAUCUUGCCUGGGAAUCUGUAAUUAUAUUUUAUUGCAUAUUCUUCCUAGGCUGGGUGUGUGUGUGUGAAAGAGAGAGAGAAACAGAAACAGAGACAAGGAGACAGAGACAGUGAAACAGAAACAGAGUCAUCUUCCAGGUUCUACUUAUUAAGCAAUAUCCCAUGAAGUAGCUGAAAAGUGUUAUAUUCUCCUAAUACCUAGUGUUUGCAAAUCUGGCAGCUGUCACUGAUGAUUUAAACAAGAUUGGGUGACUUAUUUAUGUACACACACAUCCACAAUCAAACUUCAACAGUCGAGUGUACCCUUUUCUAAAUAAUCACGUUGCUAAAAUGUGCCACAUGGCCCAUUUCUUUAAACAAUAAAUGGUAAAUUAUUAUUUUGGGGAGUGAAAGCUAAAAGAAAUAAUAUGUCUAAUACGAUGUGGCAUUUUCUCUAUACAGUACAGUUUUAGCAUUGAAAAGGACCUCAGCAAUUCCAUUUGCCCCGUUUUCAGAUGAGGAGAUUGAGGCUGGUAGUUACAGUGGUUUUGCUUCAUGUCCCAUCCCACUGGGGCUGCUAUGCAAGCUCUCAGUCUAGUCUUCUUUCCUCUGCACUUGGUGGCCAUCAGCUGUAACAAGUCCUGACUAGACAAGGGCUUUGUUGUUGACUACAAUUCAAUGCCUUUUUUGCCUGCGUUUGUUUGGACCCUGCUAAUCAAGGCUACAGGGCAGCUGCAGAAAGACACCUGCUAUUGGCUUACCUGCUCCUCGCCUUCCCUCUGCUUGGGUCUGAGCAUCAGAAAGCCACCUUCCAGUGGGUCUUUGCCUAGCUUUUGUCUUGUCUUUGCUUUUUAUUCAUCUUUGCUUUUGUCUUCUCAGGGCAAAUAGGAAAUCCUAGACCUCAGAUCACUGUUCUUUGCUUCCCAAAAGACAGAACAGCUCAGUCCUGGCUGCCACCUUCUUUCUUUACUCUUGGUUUAAAUGUAAUCCCACAUGCCCUAGACAAGCCUCCUGAUGAUUUUUCAUCAAACAUGAAAAUAGCUUACUUUUAACUGCUGGGUGUCAGUCUCUUCUAAAAAUUUUGUUCCUAAGGAAUUGAUUUUGCAAAUCAGUGCUAAAGUCACUUUUUAACUGCCUCACAUACUAUCAUUUCUUUGACAAUUCUUUUUAAAGGGGAUUGCUCUUUUCUCCUUCUGGUUUCUCAAAUCUACUUUUAACUUCAAAUAGCAGGCAUGCAAUGUAGUUUUAUAAGAUAAUAUACUAGGACCAUCUAUCAGAUAUGAAACCAAGCAUAAUCAUUGCAAUUAUUUCUACUGUAUUCAGAUAAUGAUAAUACAAAUAAGAGUACGACAUACGUAAAUGUUGAUUAGCUUUCUGGUUCCUUCAUCAAAACUUGCGUUGUGUUGUGCAGCCUUUUCUUUGCAUUGUCCAGGGGUUUUGUUAUUACAAACCAUAAUAUUUAACCCAUUUCUUCUACUAAUAUCUUUUAAUAUUUAUGCUAUUAUAUAGCUUUUUAUUUUUGACAUGUAUCUAAACCAGAAAAAAAUAUUCCUUGUACAUGAUAUUUUUAGGCAAAACAUAAUGUCUGGAGCACCAAGUGAAAUAACUGUGGAGAAUGGAAUGUUGGACAAUUUGUGUGGCAUGCUUAGCUUAAUUUGUUUCUAUGGCACAAGCAAAGCUCAUUAAUUCCAUUUAUUAUUUUAAGCCACUUGUUUGGUGUUAUGGAUUUUAAGAAUCAGUUGGUGUUAGAAUUUUUAAUAACACAGAGAAAGCCAUUGAAUAUGGAACUCAAAUUAUCUAAGGUUUACCCAGAAGUCAAAAUCACCUGGCCCUCUGUAAAUUUCUCUUUGUGUUCCUAGGCCCACAAAGUCUUUGGUCUGAAGACUCAGAGCUUAAAUUGCAUUGGUCCUGUUAAUCUUUGUCAAAAAGGAAGUUUGGGCGGCAGUUUCAGGGUAGUGUUGAGAAGAUAACUCCUGGUCCCAUUUUAUUCUUUCCUCAUUUGUUCAGUGCUCAUGGCCAUCUACAACCUUCCUUGAUUCUAUUCUGCCUAAGCCUCUUAUUUCCACAUCUAUAAGUAUAGUGCUACAUAAUAAUUACAACCUUUAAGAAAAUGGAGAGUUUUCAUUAAAGGGCCCCUGCAAAUCUAUGAUGCUAGAUGACAGAUUCUACCAGAAGGCCAGAGUAUUAAUAGCACCCGUGAUAACUGUAAUAAGAAUAUGUCUCGUUUUCUUUUAAAGACAUAGAUAUUCCAUUUUAAUCCUGUAUAACUCAAAGAAAAUUUGGGUGUUAACACUUUGAAAUACCUUUACCUCCUUUGGGGGAAAUCCAAACUGAAAGGAAUUAAUAUCCACAUCAGUUCCUAAAGCAAAAUGCCUGACACAGACUAACAAAGCUCUUUCUCAUCCUGUGGUAGGAACUUAGGAGUGAUAACUCACAUUGAGAACUUGUGAUCUGAAAGCACUAAGGAAUUUCUGCCAUUGCAGGUAGGAAAAAAAAAGACAAAAAUGGUAUUCUCAGGUGAGCUUACCUUUCAAAUUUUUCUGAGACUUCCUAAAUGUGACAAGAACUCUGCUGUGUGGCAACCUUAUGUAUCCACAACAGAACUAAGGACCG
This 3890-nucleotide long non-coding RNA is filed under the name Homo sapiens (human). Its description in RNAcentral is "non-protein coding NKAIN3-IT1:7". The record is from RNAcentral. Lineage: Eukaryota; Metazoa; Chordata; Mammalia; Primates; Hominidae.